Long non-coding RNA from Hevea brasiliensis (rubber tree), 288 nucleotides. RefSeq lists it as uncharacterized. Lineage: Eukaryota; Viridiplantae; Streptophyta; Magnoliopsida; Malpighiales; Euphorbiaceae. The record is from RefSeq and is a predicted model, not a curated record. The transcript has 3 exons.
CAGAGGAAUAUUCUCCAUCUCGCUUGUAUGGAGAGACAGAUUUAGAGGAAAGUGUGAUAUAGAGGAUCUCAAGUUUGAAAUUUACCACAAAAAAUAUUGAUACAUGUCUUAUGGAGAUGGAUAUGCAAAGUGAAACAAUCAAGAAUCUUAUGCUAUUUUUAAUUCUGGAGUUGGAAGCACAAUUCUACAAAUUUGAUUAUUCUCCAUAUAGGCAAUUUAUAGUAAUCUAUUGAAUGGCAUUUGUACCUUCAUUUGUUAAAUUCUAAUAGUUGAAGUGUUGAUUUAAGC